GAGUUUGAUCCUGGCUCAGAACGUACGCUGGCGGCACGCUAACACAUGCAAGUCGAACGCAGUAGCAAUACUGAGUGGCAAACGGGUGAGUAUAAUGUGGGAAUCUGCCUUUUGGUUUGGAAUAACACGAGGAAACUUGUGCUAAUACCGGAUAAGCCCUUAGGGGGAAAGUUUUAACGCCGAAAGAUGAGCCCGCACUUGAUUAGCUAGUUGGUAAGGUAAAAGCUUACCAAGGCAACGAUCAAUAGCUGUUCUUAGAGGAAGACCAGCCACAUUGGGACUGAGACACGGCCCAAACUCCUACGGGAGGCAGCAGUGGGGAAUCUUGCACAAUGGGGGAAACCCUGAUGCAGCGAUGCCGCGUGAGUGAAGAAGGCCCUUGGGUUGUAAAACUCUUUCGUCGGGGAAGAAAAUGACUGUACCCGAAUAAGAAGGUCCGGCUAACUUCGUGCCAGCAGCCGCGGUAAUACGAAGGGACCUAGCGUAGUUCGGAAUUACUGGGCUUAAAGAGCUCGUAGGUGGUUAAAAAAGUUGAUGGUGAAAUCCCAAGGCUUAACCUUGGAACUGCCAUCAAAACUUUUUAGCUAGAGUAUGAUAGAGGAAAGUGGAAUUUCUAGUGUAGAGGUGAAAUUCGUAGAUAUUAGAAAGAACACCAAAUGCGAAGGCAACUUUCUGGAUCAUUACUGACACUGAGGAGCGAAACAUGGGGUAGCGAAGAGGAUUAGAUACCCUCGUAGUCCAUGCCGUAAACGAUGUGUGCUAGACGUUGGAAACAUAGUUUUCAGUGUCGCAGAGAAAUCAUUAAGCACACCGCCUGGGGAGUACGACCGCAAGUUAAAAACUCAAAUGAAUUGACGGGGACCCGCACAAGUAGUGGAGCAUGUGGUUUAAUUCGA
This 896-nucleotide ribosomal RNA is filed under the name uncultured Alphaproteobacteria bacterium. RNAcentral describes it as "bacterial SSU rRNA". It matches the Rfam family "Bacterial small subunit ribosomal RNA", at positions 9 to 954 of the family's 1533-position model. Lineage: Bacteria; Pseudomonadati; Pseudomonadota; Alphaproteobacteria. The record is from RNAcentral.